GGCCUAGGCGGUUAAGUAAGUCAAAGGUGAAAUCUGCACCGCUCACCGGGCAAAUUGCCUCUGAUACUGCUUGACUCGAAUUCGGACGAGGGAACCGGAAUUCCGUGUGUAGCGGUGAAAUGCGUAGAUAUACGGAGGAACACCAGUGGCGAAGGCGGGUUCCUGGGCCGACACUGACGCUGAAGCCCGAAAGCGUGGGGAGCGAACG
Molecule: ribosomal RNA, 208 nt
Filed under: uncultured bacterium
Lineage: Bacteria
Description: partial 16S ribosomal RNA
Rfam family: Bacterial small subunit ribosomal RNA
Source: RNAcentral